Molecule: ribosomal RNA, 398 nt
Filed under: uncultured bacterium
Lineage: Bacteria
Description: bacterial SSU rRNA
Rfam family: Bacterial small subunit ribosomal RNA
Source: RNAcentral
AUUGAACGCUGGCGGCAUGCUUUACACAUGCAAGUCGAACGGCAGCACGGGUGCUUGCACCUGGUGGCGAGUGGCGGACGGGUGAGUAAUACAUCGGAACGUAUCCCAGAAGAGGGGGAUAACGCAUCGAAAGAUGUGCUAAUACCGCAUAUUCUCUGAGGAGGAAAGCAGGGGCUCGCAAGACCUUGCGCUUUUGGAGCGGCCGAUGUCUGAUUAGCUAGUUGGUGGGGUAAAGGCCUACCAAGGCGACGAUCAGUAGUUGGUCUGAGAGGACGACCAGCCACACUGGGACUGAGACACGGCCCAGACUCCUACGGGAGGCAGCAGUGGGGAAUUUUGGGACAAUGGGCGCAAGCCUGAUCCAGCAAUGCCGCGUGAGUGAAGAAGGCCUCGGUUGU